UGGGACAGACCUCUCAGGGCUUGGCUUAAUGAGUUUGGCUGCUCCUACACCGUGGGGUGAGGAUGCUGUUGGAGGGACUUGGGCUGCGCUGAGGAAAUCUCUAUGCAUCUAUCAUAGAGUAACUGUGAACCUGCAAUGGUCAAGGCAACGGGCAGCUGGAGGAGAUGGAUAUGAUAGGGUUGUGUAGGGUGAAAAAGGAGACAGUGGGCCUUUUCAGGAGGUUUUGUGAAUUGCUACUCACAGGUGGCUUGUCUGGAUUGCAUAACAUCAGGCCAUGGCCAAGUGGGCAGCACCAGUGCCCACGUGUGCAUCAAUCCCGUGCCUGUAGCAGUUCCUGUCUGCCAAAGGGCAGGAAGGGCAGAGGUCUUCACCCAGAGACCAGCAAGUGAAGCAGCUGGAUCCACGUUUCAUGUUUAUGGUGUUUUGGCAGCCAUUACCCUGUUUACCAAGACCAGCAGGAAUCUGUCAUCUUGGCUGAGUGUGGCACAACUAGCAACAGUUUGGGGAAAUAUCUACAACUGGUAUAUAGUGAUGACUGCAGAAAAAGACCUGGAUUAUUACACGCCCUUCUGAUACGGCAAUGUUCUAGCAUUAGUGUUGAAUUCUUCCUCCUGCCAUAGGUGAGCCAAGCCAAAGCGGGGAGGUGUGUUACUCCCAUAAAUGCUGUGCAAAGAAGGCAGGGAUUAGCUCACCUGGAACUCACAUCCUGUGCCAGGGACAGUGCUGAGUCACCUCACAGGCACCUCACCCGGCCGUCAGCCAAGAUGCCUCAUGGCACAGACACACCACAGUGUGUGUGUCCUGUCUGCUUCCUGCUCCUGCAUGCUUGGAAGUACUGCCUUGCUCUUUUGCUUGCCCAUUGGGGUUUCCUUCUCUCAAACUUGCGAGAAAUCUUGGAGAUGGUUGCAACUCCUGGGCCAUUUUAUGGGCUUGGGUUUUGAGUGCCUGCAGUCCAAAAGAAAUGGAAGAACAUCUUUUCAACAACUUCCUUGCUAUCUUUCUAACACUCAACCACUUCCUAAGACAAAAACUUGUGUGUGGAUCAUUAUUUCUCUGGGAUUUGGCUGGUAGAGGGGAAUCCUGUAUCCGUAUGUGUGUGCAAGGUAGCACUGUCUUGCUGAACUGGACAUGUCCUGAAUGAUCUUCCUGGGUGGUGGGGACGACUGAUGCUUUGUGCCCAACUGAAUACAGGUGUCAGCUUGUGGAUGGAUUGGCUUGCAUCAGCUGUACACAUCCUUAUCUGCAGGAAGUAAGGAGUAUCUCCGUAAAAUCAUACUAUAAACCAAACCCUCUUCACUUCCCUUUUCAUGAGCUGCUGGAGCAGAAGGGAAAGACAAAGCCUGAGUCACCCAUGAGGAGUCAUCACCUCAUUACUGACAUGAUGAGAAAUCAUAUACAUCCUGUAAAAAGAUGAAUAAAUCUAUGUUCUUCCAUCCCAGUUCUCCUGAGAAGGGGCUGGGUGUGCAUGCCAUACCCAGUUCAGCACAUGCUGAGGUGGUGCCACACAAGCUGGGUUCUGGUUGUGUGCUAGAAGAGAGUCUAGGAAGGAGCUGUGAUGCAUCUGUGUGACACGAGAAAGCUGCCUUGCAUCCCUGUGGGUCAGUUGGCUGUCCAUGGGUUUCUCUGGAUUCCCUCGCCUCCUCUAAGGGGGUCAACAGUUAAGGACAGCCCCUGAAACUGCUGUCUUCUUCUGGGGAUGUGCUUCUGUGGUGUUUUCAACCUGUGCUAUAUGUGAAGCAGGCAGGCUCAGAUCUCUCUACGUAUCACUCAGUUCCUGGGUUUCCCCAAAUAAGACAUGCUAAAAAAAAAAAAAAAAAAAAAAAAAAAACAGUUUCUCACCUUUUGUGUUGGGAGAAUUGCGAGCACUCAGCAUUUUGUAGGAAGUGUUUCACAUCUUGCAGGAGGAAACACUUAGUUACUGACUGCAGCUCAUCAGCACAGAAUGCUGUGAUGUGAUUUAGAAGCUCAUUAGAGACCAUAAUCAUAGCGGCAGAUGUUGGUUGAGAGUAAGAACCAACACAAUGAAAAAUAGGAAGCUUUCUGCUGUGAGGAUGGUCAAAAUUUGAGGUUUUUUUUUUGUUUUUUUUUUUUCUUCCCAAAAUACUGAAGUUUGUGUAUGAUGUGGAAGUUGCUUUCUAGGUUUGGAAAGGUGGUCAGGGUGGGACUCAGCCCCAGGACCUGUGCCAGGUGUCCCAGCCCUUCACAACCCCACUCAUGCAUGUGGGAGGACAGUGGCACCUGCAAGGCUCUGGAAUCAAAGCUCUGAGCUGCUAAGGUGGCACAGAUGAUCCCCAUAAACUGCAACGACAUCGAUCUAAGAUAUGCAUUCUCCCACUAAGGUGAAUACCAACAAAUACAAAUUCCAUGCACUCGCACAGGGUGUGCAAAUGGCUGAGCAGCCGAGGGCUUACAUCUCACAGUUGUUGUUCACAGUUCACAGAAAUGCUGGACGUGGAAUGUGCUUCCAGGUGCAGAGGGAUGAUGGUAUGAAGAUACUUUGGGACCUCUCUUGCAUAAUAUGCCAAUGUUUCCUGCUGUUAAGUGUGUCACCCCAUUAAUGUAAAGAACAAAUACAAAAU
Long non-coding RNA from Tympanuchus pallidicinctus (lesser prairie-chicken), 2579 nucleotides. RefSeq lists it as uncharacterized. The transcript has 3 exons. The record is from RefSeq and is a predicted model, not a curated record. Lineage: Eukaryota; Metazoa; Chordata; Aves; Galliformes; Phasianidae.